Molecule: long non-coding RNA, 290 nt
Organism: Mya arenaria
Lineage: Eukaryota; Metazoa; Mollusca; Bivalvia; Myida; Myidae
Exons: 3
Source: RefSeq, a predicted model, not a curated record
AAUGAACAUGUUUUUUCAUUUGCACAGAUUAUUAAAGACCAAAAGAAAACUUUCUUGGAGACAACAACUGGCCGUGGGGUGAAGAGGUUUUGGAAAGAAAACCCUGAAGUUUUGCAGAUUAUAAAGGACAACAAAGAAAACUUCAACAGAACAACCAGCCAGAUUGGGUUGAAAAGAGUGAGGGAUGAGUUAAAGAUUUUGAAGGACACGAAGGAAAAUUACCUAAAAACCACCAGCCAGAAUGGGCUUAAACGAGUGCGCGACGAGCUGAAGCUAAAGUAGUUGAUUCC